Molecule: ribosomal RNA, 742 nt
Filed under: Bacillus sp. B67
Lineage: Bacteria; Bacillati; Bacillota; Bacilli; Caryophanales; Bacillaceae
Description: bacterial SSU rRNA
Rfam family: Bacterial small subunit ribosomal RNA
Source: RNAcentral
CGAGUCCCUUCGGGGGCUAGCGGCGGACGGGUGAGUAACACGUAGGCAACCUGCCCGUAAGCUCGGGAUAACAUGGGGAAACUCAUGCUAAUACCGGAUAGGGUCUUCUCUCGCAUGAGAGGAGACGGAAAGGUGGCGCAAGCUACCACUUACGGAUGGGCCUGCGGCGCAUUAGCUAGUUGGUGGGGUAACGGCCUACCAAGGCGACGAUGCGUAGCCGACCUGAGAGGGUGACCGGCCACACUGGGACUGAGACACGGCCCAGACUCCUACGGGAGGCAGCAGUAGGGAAUUUUCCACAAUGGACGAAAGUCUGAUGGAGCAACNCCGCGUGAACGAUGAAGGUCUUCGGAUUGUAAAGUUCUGUUGUCAGAGACGAACAAGUACCGUUCGAACAGGGCGGUACCUUGACGGUACCUGACGAGAAAGCCACGGCUAACUACGUGCCAGCAGCCGCGGUAAUACGUAGGUGGCAAGCGUUGUCCGGAAUUAUUGGGCGUAAAGCGCGCGCAGGCGGCUAUGUAAGUCUGGUGUUAAAGCCCGGGGCUCAACCCCGGUUCGCAUCGGAAACUGUGUAGCUUGAGUGCAGAAGAGGAAAGCGGUAUUCCACGUGUAGCGGUGAAAUGCGUAGAGAUGUGGAGGAACACCAGUGGCGAAGGCGGCUUUCUGGUCUGUAACUGACGCUGANGCGCGAAAGCGUGGGGAGCAAACNGGAUUAGAUACCCUGGUAGUCACCCCANAA